Long non-coding RNA from Alligator mississippiensis (American alligator), 2925 nucleotides. RefSeq lists it as uncharacterized. The transcript is spliced from 4 exons. NCBI's taxonomy places the organism in Eukaryota, Metazoa, Chordata, Crocodylia, Alligatoridae. The record is from RefSeq and is a predicted model, not a curated record.
GCCAUGCUUCUUCCUGUCCCAGGCUGCUGCUGCUAUGGCUGGUUGCUGCAAAUUUGGUCUCAGGAGCUUCUGGGGAGAAGAUGGCCAGGCCCUUUCCUGCCUCCUGCUGCUACUAGCAGCUGGUUUUGCCUCAGAGCUUUUGGACUACGUGGGCUGCACCCCUUCCUGCCUUGGGGGGCUGCUGCUGCUGGGUGCCCCCCCAGAAGAGGUCCUCUGCUGCACUGCACCCCAGCUUCUGCACCCCUGUUCUACCUUGCUGCCCAGCCCAUUGCCAAGCCAUGGUCAGAGGACAGCUUGGAGAGGGAGCCUGCGCUGCUUGUAGGCCCCUCCCACACCAUCACUUCCAGAGUGUUAAGGAACCUUGCCUUCCCCAGCUGCCCUGGCAGGCCACCCCCACCUUCACCUCCACUUUCACCAGGAGCAAGCCCUGAGUGGCUGAACUGGAUGGCUCAUACCAUCACUGUUACUGCAGUUUCUGCUGCUUCCCCCUCUUAGGAGAGAGGGAGAUUCCUUGCUGCACCACCUGACACCACACCUGCACUGGAUCAUUUCCUAAUUGACUGACUGCUCCCACCUUUCCCCACAGCUACCUUACUGCAUCUAAUCCUGAUUUGUCUUACUACUUACUGCUCUGCUGCUGAGUGACUGGCUGGAGGCUUGAGGGGCUUCUGGACAGAUCUUUCACAAACAAAGCCCCUCCAUUGCUCCAGCCAUCUUUCACAUCUGCCUCAGCAGCCUUCCCUGUGUGUUUUUUGCCUUUGUGUGAUAUUCAACUGACACCUACAUGUUUCAAGAAAUUGAUAGUGAAUGCAACAAAGCCUGAUAAAUGGGGAAGAAUGAUUGAAAGUCAAGCAGAAACACCUUUCAUAUUUUAGGUUUCCUUCCAGAUACCUUGAGAAGUGCAUUAUUUUGCAAGGAUGCCAUACUUUGAUGUUUUCUUUCUGAUUACAUGGUGACUCAUGGAUAUCAUCACUGCUGCAAAUUUGAUAACAGACCUGAAGUUGUAGUGGAUCUAAGUGAACUUAACCCAUUAUUCCAUAUAAAUUUAACUGUGACAUAUCAUUGUUGGGUACAUUUAAUUUCUUAUAUUGCUAUUUUCUUCCUUGCCUCGUGCCACUUUAAAUUCCUGUCAACUACUUCUGGAAUCUCACUAUUAUUUAUCAUAGGUGCAUUUUAUUCAGUGGCUGCUAAUAUAAAGUAUGUGCUUCAAAGUCAAACUAUAUAUGCAACAGUUAUAUAAAUAGUUCAUGUGCACAUAUAUUAGUGAGAGUUGUCAUUUCAUCAUAUACAUGUAAAAUAAUUCUUUCUCAAAUCCCUGAAUGCUAUAUCUAUUUAAAUAUUAAUGUAUCUGAUACAGUUUAAAUCUCUGACAUCUGCAGUUGAACUCCAAUUGUAGUCUUUUUCUCUUGUCUUGUAAAGAGAUGAAGUUUUCACUAUAUCCAAGAUUCUGUAGUUCAGAUAUACUAUUAUCUGCCUUGCUAAUGGCAUCAGACAGAUUUGUAUCCAUAAAGUAUGGAUUUUGUUGAGAAUAUCAUGUUUCUAAGAGAUAUCCAAAAGGAUGUAUGAUGUUCAAAUCAUAAUGUACUGUUAUUAAAAUACUGGAGGAAGGUGGGGUGGGAGGGGAGUUAAUGUAUUCUUCAAGGCUAGAGACAGACAUUCAAAAAACCUGAGCCUGAAUUGCUUCAAUCUUUGCAGGUUAGCCUAACUUGACUAGGCUGAACUGGUUUGAAACUGGACAAAUAUUCUCUCUGGACUGAGGAAAUGUAGACACAUGCCUGCAGUGGCUCAGGCUACAAGCCAGUGGGAUGCUAGAGAAACCCUCCCUUCCCUUCUGCAGGGAGCUGAGCUGAGUGGGGUAUGGCCAGGCUCCAGCAGGACUCUCUCAUUAGGGAUGUCUGCUUUCAUGGUCUCAGGCUUUUCCCCACUGGCAGCUUAAAGGGUGGGAGUGUUGCCAGCCUUCAGCCCUGAGCUAGCACUCUGAGGCAAAGAGCAGGGGAGGUGAACUGCUUGCAUCUGUUAAUGAUACGGAGCUUUUCAAUCUCCCUCCCUGCUUUGUUAAACUGUCUGCAGCAAACUGACAGAUGAGCAAGCCAUCUGGGGGGCUGAUAACAGUUUUUAUCACCUGAUUAGCAAAAUAAUAGCCUCUCUCCACAUUAGUUCAGACUUCUUAAACAGCUUACUGGCUGACUUGUUGAUUAGGUCCAAAAGUCCUAAACGGUCACUGUUCUGCCUGUCCCAGUGAAAUUAGAGAGUGACAUACACACAGAUACCUCUUGGCAUUAGGUAGCAUACCACAUGCUGGCUACAGUCUGCUCUAUGGCAGAGAGGAGGAAAGGAUCUCUGCUUAAGCAGUGAGUGGUGAGGGGUAGAGGGAAAUGGGGGCACAGGGAAGCCAGCAGACCCUGCUGUGCCUUCAAGCCUGUGCUGAGCUCCUGCCAGGGAGAAGAGGGGAGGGGCCAGCCCUGCUGUGGAGCAGAGAGCCCCACACAGCCCAGAGAGCAUGCCAGGAUGCUGGGGGUCUCUGGUUUAUCUUAAACCAGCAAGGGAUCCAGGACAGACAUUGCAUAAACUGGUUUGAGCCAAAUCAGUUAAGUCUGAUACUACAUUCAACCAAUUUUAUCUCAAACCAGUUUCAGCCAUUUUCAAACUGGUUUAUGUGCACUGAGCAUCUGUUCUGUUACAGGUUUAAACCAGUUUCUGAUCACUUAAACUGGUUUAUGUAUAAUGUCUGUCCCUAGCCCUCGGAGAAGUGAAGUGAAAAACAACAUAUAUUAAUAAUAUGACUGAAUCUGUCAAGUAUUGUGGCCUUCCUACUGUUAUGAAUGGGGUGAAAUGAGAAACAUUCUCACAAAGGUUAAGCUCUACAAACAUCUAUCUUCCAUCUCCCUUGUAUUCCUGUGCAUGUGUCAGUUUGGAUAGCUGCAU